This 703-nucleotide ribosomal RNA is filed under the name Bacillus sp. BA16. RNAcentral describes it as "bacterial SSU rRNA". It matches the Rfam family "Bacterial small subunit ribosomal RNA", at positions 537 to 1239 of the family's 1533-position model. The record is from RNAcentral. Lineage: Bacteria; Bacillati; Bacillota; Bacilli; Caryophanales; Bacillaceae.
UCGGCUGUUCGGAUAUUGGGCGUAAGGGCUCGCAGGCGGUUUCUUAGUCUGAUGUGAAAGCCCCCGGCUCAACCGGGGAGGGUCAUUGGAAACUGGGAAACUUGAGUGCAGAAGAGGAGAGUGGAAUUCCACGUGUAGCGGUGAAAUGCGUAGAGAUGUGGAGGAACACCAGUGGCGAAGGCGACUCUCUGGUCUGUAACUGACGCUGAGGAGCGAAAGCGUGGGGAGCGAACAGGAUUAGAUACCCUGGUAGUCCACGCCGUAAACGAUGAGUGCUAAGUGUUAGGGGGUUUCCGCCCCUUAGUGCUGCAGCUAACGCAUUAAGCACUCCGCCUGGGGAGUACGGUCGCAAGACUGAAACUCAAAGGAAUUGACGGGGGCCCGCACAAGCGGUGGAGCAUGUGGUUUAAUUCGAAGCAACGCGAAGAACCUUACCAGGUCUUGACAUCCUCUGACAACCCUAGAGAUAGGGCUUUCCCUUCGGGAACAGAGUGACAGGUGGUGCAUGGUUGUCGUCAGCUCGUGUCGUGAGAUGUUGGGUUAAGUCCCGCAACGAGCGCAACCCUUGAUCUUAGUUGCCAGCAUUUAGUUGGGGCACUCUAAGGUGACUGCCGGUGACAAACCGGGAGGAAGGUGGGGGAUGACGUCAAAUCAUCAUGCGCCCUUUAUGACCUGGGCUACACACGUGCUACAAUGGGACCAG